UACGAAGGGGGCUAGCGUUGCUCGGAAUCACUGGGCGUAAAGGGCGCGUAGGCGGCGUGUUAAGUCAGCUGUGAAAUCUCCAAGCUUAACUUGGAACGGUCAGCUGAUACUGAUGUGCUAGAGUGCAGAAGGGGCAAUCGGAAUUCUUGGUGUAGCGGUGAAAUGCGUAGAUAUCAAGAGGAACACCUGAGGUGAAGACGGGUUGCUGGGCUGACACUGACGCUGAGGCGCGAAAGCUAGGGUAGCAAACGGG
RNAcentral lists this ribosomal RNA (253 nucleotides) under uncultured bacterium. RNAcentral's name for it is "partial 16S ribosomal RNA". It matches the Rfam family "Bacterial small subunit ribosomal RNA", at positions 524 to 776 of the family's 1533-position model. The record is from RNAcentral.